UGUUAAACAGUUAAACAAAAUUUUCACGAUACAGUGAUAAAAUACUCGAUAAAGUUAUAUUGAAACGAUUAUACUUGAUAUGAGUUUCCGUAGUGUUAUGAAGAUCCAUUUGUCGAUAUGAUACAUUCAUCUUUUCAGGUUGCAAGCACGGAACCUUGCGCUGGUUUGCCUUGCUAUAGUUAUGGAACAUGCUAUGAUACCGCGGACGGAAAUUGUGUGUGCAAAUAUGCGCUUCAUAAGGGACCUAACUGUUCAGACAUCGACGAGUGUAAAUAUAGUCACAAAGACAAAUGCGGUCACAGAGGAAUUUGUAACAACACUGAAGGUGGUUUUCAAUGUAUUUGUUAUACUGGUUGGACGGGAGUCCUGUGUGAAAACAAAACAGGGAACAAUGCAUCAUGCAUGGACGGAUAUUAUGGGGACAAUUGUGAGAAAACUAUAAGCUGCGACCAUGGAUACAAGAAAAGAAUCGAAAAUAAUACAGAAAGAUGCGUCUGUGACCCAGGCUGGAAUCAGACAAACUAUUAUUCCCCAUGUAAUAUGGAUAUUAUGAAUGCAAUUUAAACAACCCGUGUUCAAAUGGCGGUACUUGUAUAAAUACAAAUGGUAAGUUUGCAUUAUAUUUUUCUCGAGAAAAAUGUUUCAACUUUUCCAUCAAAUAAGUUUUCCAUUUGAAUUGACCCAAUAUUGCCAACGUGCUUCUUACUAAGAAGUGUUAUUUCGCGUCUUAAAACAUAAAAUAUACGUUCUUAUUUAUUUAUUGAAACAAGUAUUUUCAAAAUCGCCAUUUAACCAAACUGUAAAUAGGUCCCUUUAAAAUACUUAUUUAUUGUAAUAAACGCUUCGUUAUCCGUUUUUCAUGUACGAUCUUGGUAAACUAAGGAAUAAACGUGAGUCAGUUACUGGAUGUAUGGUUUAUAGUGAACAAGUACCGCGCAAUGUUUAGUUACAAUAUAUCAUUCAACGAAAAAUAUUUAUAUUCCGUAUCAUAUCAAAAAUUAUUAUUGUACAGAAUUGCAAUGUAGACGUUUAGAUAUUUAAUACUUCUGUGUUAAACACAAUUUACAUGAAGCUAUAAUUGCGCCUGUGUCCAACCAUGGGGUGAUGAUAAUUGCUCAACAGAGGAUACGACCACGACUUUUUCAACAAGCAUUAUGACAAACACGGCUAUGUCGGAAACGACUGCAAUUCAUAGAAACAUAUCGAAGUCGGAAACGAAAGUAACUGAAAGAAGCACGUCAACUUCGGAAACAGCAAUUGAUAGCACGUCGAUUUCGAGCACGACAGUAAUUCACACAAAAACGUCGAUGGUCCGAACGUGUUAUUUACUAGCGAUCGGAUUGGUGAAGUGAAUCCACAGAGAUCGAAAGACACAGGGGCUGGACUUGCUGCUGGUUUGUCUGUGGGUGGAGUCGUUAUUAUUGCCGCUUUGGUCGUCCUCCUGGUACUGAAAUUUAAAUACAAAUACACUGCAUCUGACAUACUAUUUUGCAAGUUUCAACGGUAAGUAUGGCCGUACUUUUUUACAUUUAUCACAUACUAUAUACUUGUUAAUAUGUAAUUCAAUAAUAACGAAUACUUAUAUGCUAAACAUUGUUAAGUAAAUACAUGUGCGUGUUUAUUGAUCGAGGCGUUUUUAAGCUGACAAAUCGCAUAACCGUAUUUCGGCAAAAUGGCUUCGUCGACAUUUAAUGAUGGUAUGUCUUAACAACUUUCCGUGUUUAUGUUUUCUUGAAAAAAUAUAGUAUGCACUCGUUGUCAUUACAUAAAUUUAAACAAGUCAGUUUGAGGUCAACUUAUAACAUAUAGUUUAUAAUUAAAACUCGUUUCAGAUCCUCUAUCUGUUGUCUAAUAUGCGGAUAUAAAAAUUAUAAUUGAAUGCCCAGUUUUAUCCUGUGAAAGUUAUAGUUUUGUUAUACCGGUACGUACGUCCAAUUUCUACUAUUUGCAGCGUUAACUAAAUAUUUAAAUAGAGUCAUAUACGUAUGCAUAUGUUUGGGAUAGACGGAUUCUAUACAAAAAAACUAAUGGAAAUAUUUAUAGAGCAAUCGAAAUAAAAACAAGGGACAAAAUUUUCAAAAAAAAACAGGUUUUCAAUUUGAAAAAAAAGUCUGAUAAAGGGAGACAACUCAAACUAAACUGAUUGUUUAUCAUAAACCCCCUUUGUUUCAAAAUAAAUAUAUAUUUAAGUCGUGGCGACCUUGACCUUGGAGAUAUUGACGUAAUUCUUUCGUGCGACACACCGUCCCAUGAUGGUGAACAAAUGUGCCAAAUGAUUUUUAAAUUUCACAAUGAAUGACACAGUUAUGGCCCGGACAAGCUCUUUUAUGGCCAUUUUAACCUUUGAACUCAAAGUGUGACCUAGACUUUGGAUAUAUCGACGUAAUUCUUUCGUGCGACACAUCGUUUAAUGAUGUUGAACAAUUGUGCCAAUUGAUUUUAAAAUCUCACCAUGAACGGCAAAGUUAUGGCCCAAACAAGCUUGUUCCGCCCGCCCGCCAGCCCGACCGCC
Long non-coding RNA from Dreissena polymorpha, 2512 nucleotides. RefSeq lists it as uncharacterized. The record is from RefSeq and is a predicted model, not a curated record. The transcript has 6 exons. Lineage: Eukaryota; Metazoa; Mollusca; Bivalvia; Myida; Dreissenidae.